Molecule: ribosomal RNA, 981 nt
Filed under: seawater metagenome
Description: bacterial LSU rRNA
Rfam family: Bacterial large subunit ribosomal RNA
Source: RNAcentral
CCUAAGGUAGCGAAAUUCCUUGUCGGGUAAGUUCCGACCUGCACGAAUGGCGUAAUGAUGGGGGCGCUGUCUCCACCCGAGACUCAGUGAAAUCGAAAUCGCAGUGAAGAUGCUGUGUACCCGCGGCUAGACGGAAAGACCCCGUGAACCUUUACUAUAGCUUCACAGUGGACUUUGAACCUGUUUGUGUAGGAUAGCUGGGAGACUUUGAAGCAGUGACGCUAGUCAUUGUGGAGUCGUCCUUGAAAUACCAGCCUGGCAUGUUUGAGGUUCUAACCUGGGUCCCUUAUCGGGAUCGGGGACAUUGUGUGGUGGGUAGUUUGACUGGGGCGGUCUCCUCCCAAAGAGUAACGGAGGAGCACAAAGGUACCCUCAGCACGGUCGGACAUCGUGCAACGAGCGUAAAGGUAGAAGGGUGCUUGACUGCGAGACUUACAAGUCGAGCAGGUGCGAAAGCAGGUCUUAGUGAUCCGGUGGUUCUGUAUGGAAGGGCCAUCGCUCAACGGAUAAAAGGUACUCCGGGGAUAACAGGCUGAUACCGCCCAAGAGUUCAUAUCGACGGCGGUGUUUGGCACCUCGAUGUCGGCUCAUCACAUCCUGGGGCUGAAGUCGGUCCCAAGGGUAUGGCUGUUCGCCAUUUAAAGUGGUACGCGAGCUGGGUUUAGAACGUCGUGAGACAGUUCGGUCCCUAUCUGCCGUGGGCGUUGGAGAUUUGAGAGGAGCUGCUCCUAGUACGAGAGGACCGGAGUGGACGAACCUCUGGUGUUCCGGUUGUCACGCCAGUGGCAUUGCCGGGUAGCUACGUUCGGACGGGAUAACCGCUGAAAGCAUCUAAGCGGGAAGCCUCCCUCAAGAUGAGAUCUCCCUGGGAACUUGAUUCCCCUGAAGGGCCGUUGAAGACCACAACGUUGAUAGGCUGGGUGUGGAAGCGUUGUAAGGCGUGAAGCUAACCAGUACUAAUUGCCCGUGAGGCUUGACUAU